CCUGACCUGAAUUGUUCGGAUAACCUAUUAUUUUGAACCUACAUUCAUAAUACGGGAGUCCGGUAAGUUUGAAGGUGUAUACCAGGCCACAAGCUAAUUCCGACAUGCUGAUGCAUGCAACGGCGGUGGAAGGUUGAAACCUGCGGCAGGACACCCACCUAGCGUUGGGCUAGGUGUCAAAAUAUAGGGGAACGGCUUUUCGGGUUUAAA
This 210-nucleotide non-coding RNA is filed under the name Clostridiaceae bacterium. RNAcentral describes it as "6S RNA". It matches the Rfam family "6S / SsrS RNA". Rfam says of the family: E. coli 6S RNA was the first non coding RNA to be sequenced, but its function was unknown until recently. It consists of 184 nucleotides that fold into an extended hairpin structure with a large single-stranded internal bulge. Lineage: Bacteria; Bacillati; Bacillota; Clostridia; Eubacteriales; Clostridiaceae. The record is from RNAcentral.